GACAAACCAGCAGGUUUAAUUAUGAAUGAGGGUUUCUGUGUAACUGUACCGUGACAUUACUAAAGGUCAGAAUAAGCUAAAAAUGGUGUUCAGUUGUUGAAACACAGGGAAAGAGGACUAAUACUGUUUUCACACUACCAAACUGUGCUCCAAUGUCAGCCGACAGAAGCCAUGCUUUAGUUAAAAGAAGAGCACGUCGGCCCAGUGCUGAAGAUGUAGUCUACAGUCUCAGAGGGAGGCAGCUGCUGGGAACAACAAAGAAAAAUGGAGUUCCUAUUGAAGGAAUCGUCCACUGAUGCUCUCUAAUGGGUGCUGUUGGGAUGGGAGAAAAGUGUGAGGCUGAUCAACACUGCAUCACAUUCUGUGAUCAAAGAACAAUAUGUGCCCAGUGUUUUUAAACUUGGACUCACUCUCUGUGAAAUGCUGCCCUGGAAGCUUCUCUUUCUUCUUUUCUUAAUAAGGCGUGUUAUCUUCUCUGCGUCCUCUCCUGACACGUCGAGCUGAUAUUCCCCACCGGGGUCGUUUAAGUCUGAACUCGUCUGACCGAACAGAAUCUGCAGCCCAGCUAAGGAAACAAGUCAGUCGCCUGCCUUAACUGCUGUCAUCUUUCCUCAUCUCGUGACACCUCAGUGACACCCAGAGUGGCGCUCGGAGUCGCCUCCACCAACAUCCACCUUUCAAUCACACUUUCAAUUGCAAUUGCCUAAUUCUGUGCUGGGAUUUCAGUCCACGGCGAGGAUAUGAGAUUUGUCAAGCACGAGCCCGGGGAAGAACCUGCAUCGCAUAACGCGUAGACGUGCACCAUUUCCUCAGCAUGUGAACUGCAAUUCAUUUUAUAAAUGUCAGAUGAAGCCUGGCAAGCCAUCCACCCACCCACACACACACACACACACACACACACAAAUAGCGUGGUGGGUAAUAUUCUUAUUAGAGAUCAUUUUGAUUGGCUUCCGCUGCCCUUUUCAUUGUGUGAGCGACAGUGAAGGGAGAGAUGAUGAAGUGUGUGCCUAAAUGUCUGUGUGUGCACACUAUGCAUAUAUGUAUAUAUAUAUAUGUGUGUGUUUGUGUGUGUAUGUGUGUGUGUGUGCGUGCAUGUGUCAGAUGUUGAGGGUUUGAGGGUUUAUGUAAGCAGAGAUUAAAAAUGCAAUAAACCUGCC
Oreochromis aureus is the source of this 1157-nucleotide long non-coding RNA. Lineage: Eukaryota; Metazoa; Chordata; Actinopteri; Cichliformes; Cichlidae. The record is from Ensembl.